Molecule: ribosomal RNA, 262 nt
Filed under: Salmonella enterica subsp. enterica serovar Paratyphi B
Lineage: Bacteria; Pseudomonadati; Pseudomonadota; Gammaproteobacteria; Enterobacterales; Enterobacteriaceae
Description: partial 23S ribosomal RNA
Rfam family: Bacterial large subunit ribosomal RNA
Source: RNAcentral
GGGUUGUGAGGUUAAGCGACUAAGCGUACACGGUGGAUGCCCUGGCAGUCAGAGGCGAUGAAGGGCGUGCUAAUCUGCGAUAAGCGCCGGUAAGGUGAUAUGAACCGUUAUAACCGGCGAUACCCGAAUGGGGAAACCCAGUGUGAUUCGUCACACUAUCAUUAACUGAAUUCAUAGGUUAAUGAGGCGAACCGGGGGAACUGAAACAUCUAAGUACCCCGAGGAAAAGAAAUCAACCGAGAUUCCCCCAGUAGCGGCGAGC